Molecule: ribosomal RNA, 253 nt
Filed under: uncultured bacterium
Lineage: Bacteria
Description: partial 16S ribosomal RNA
Rfam family: Bacterial small subunit ribosomal RNA
Source: RNAcentral
UACGGAGGGGGCUAGCGUUGUUCGGAAUUACUGGGCGUAAAGCGCUCGUAGGCGGACCUGCAAGUCGGGGGUGAAAGCCCGAGGCUCAACCUCGGAACUGCCUUCGAUACUGCGGGUCUCGAGUCCGGGAGAGGUGAGUGGAAUUCCUAGUGUAGAGGUGAAAUUCGUAGAUAUUAGGAAGAACACCAGUGGCGAAGGCGGCUCACUGGCCCGGUACUGACGCUGAGGAGCGAAAGCGUGGGGAGCAAACAGG